UAGAGAUAGUAAGAGUUGCGACACUCCCAUAGGGUGCCGUUGUACGCUUUCUUCCUGUCUACUUCCGGGUUGUGGAGGCUUGUUUAGUUCCAAGCACCGCUUCGACAGUGAUAGCCACCGUUCAUUUGCACUGCAGGUUGUUGAGUAUAUGUGGAGUAUCCCGAGAACCCUCACUGAAGACACGAAGACCCUCAUUGUUUCUCCCAUUGUCAAUAAAACAUACUAUUUCAUUCAUCAAA
This is a long non-coding RNA of Acanthochromis polyacanthus (spiny chromis), 239 nucleotides long. RefSeq lists it as uncharacterized. The record is from RefSeq and is a predicted model, not a curated record. The transcript is spliced from 2 exons. Lineage: Eukaryota; Metazoa; Chordata; Actinopteri; Pomacentridae.